GACGAACGCUGGCGGCGUGCUUAACACAUGCAAGUCGAGCGGUAAGGCCCUUUCGGGGGUACACGAGCGGCGAACGGGUGAGUAACACGUGGGUGACCUGCCCUCAGCUCUGGGAUAAGCCUGGGAAACCGGGUCUAAUACCGGAUAUGACUCCAUGACGCAUGUUGUGGGGUGGAAAGCCUUGUGCGGCUGAGGAUGGGCCCGCGGCCUAUCAGCUUGUUGGUGGGGUGAUGGCCUACCAAGGCGACGACGGGUAGCCGGCCUGAGAGGGCGACCGGCCACACUGGGACUGAGACACGGCCCAGACUCCUACGGGAGGCAGCAGGUGGGGAAUCUUGCGCAAUGGGACGAAAGCCUGACGCAGCGACGCCGCGUGA
This 377-nucleotide ribosomal RNA is filed under the name uncultured bacterium. RNAcentral describes it as "bacterial SSU rRNA". It matches the Rfam family "Bacterial small subunit ribosomal RNA", at positions 28 to 404 of the family's 1533-position model. The record is from RNAcentral.